This 125-nucleotide non-coding RNA is filed under the name Colius striatus (speckled mousebird). The record is from RNAcentral. Lineage: Eukaryota; Metazoa; Chordata; Aves; Coliiformes; Coliidae.
AUGUUGUAAGAAAGCAGAGGUUAGCACUCCCCUUGAUAAGGAUGGAAGAGGCCCAUGUGGCCUGUACAACACACAUAUGGUUAAGGCACUGCCACCUACUUUGUGGCAUCUAACCAUGAACUCGA